GAUGAACGCUGGCGGCGUGCCUAAUACAUGCAAGUCGAGCGAACGGACGAGAAGCUUGCUUCUCUGAUGUUAGCGGCGGACGGGUGAGUAACACGUGGAUAACCUACCUAUAAGACUGGGAUAACUUCGGGAAACCGGAGCUAAUACCGGAUAAUAUUUUGAACCGCAUGGUUCAAAAGUGAAAGACGGUCUUGCUGUCACUUAUAGAUGGAUCCGCGCUGCAUUAGCUAGUUGGUAAGGUAACGGCUUACCAAGGCAACGAUGCAUAGCCGACCUGAGAGGGUGAUCGGCCACACUGGAACUGAGACACGGUCCAGACUCCUACGGGAGGCAGCAGUAGGGAAUCUUCCGCAAUGGGCGAAGGCCUGACGGAGCAACGCCGCGUGAGUGAUGAAGGUCUUCGGAUCGUAAAACUCUGUUAUUAGGGAAGAACAUAUGUGUAAGUAACUGUGCACAUCUUGACGGUACCUAAUCAGAAAGCCACGGCUAACUACGUGCCAGCAGCCGCGGUAAUACGUAGGUGGCAAGCGUUAUCCGGAAUUAUUGGGCGUAAAGCGCGCGUAGGCGGUUUUUUAAGUCUGAUGUGAAAGCCCACGGCUCAACCGUGGAGGGUCAUUGGAAACUGGAAAACUUGAGUGCAGAAGAGGAAAGUGGAAUUCCAUGUGUAGCGGUGAAAUGCGCAGAGAUAUGGAGGAACACCAGUGGCGAAGGCGACUUUCUGGUCUGUAACUGACGCUGGUGUGCGAAAGCGUGGGGAUCAAACAGGAUUAGAUACCCUGGUAGUCCACGCCGUAAACGAUGAGUGCUAAGUGUUAGGGGGUUUCCGCCCCUUAGUGCUGCAGCUAACGCAUUAAGCACUCCGCCUGGGGAGUACGACCGCAAGGUUGAAACUCAAAGGAAUUGACGGGGACCCGCACAAGCGGUGGAGCAUGUGGUUUAAUUCGAAGCAACGCGAAGAACCUUACCAAAUCUUGACAUCCUUUGACAACUCUAGAGAUAGAGCUUUCCCCUUCGGGGGACAAAGUGACAGGUGGUGCAUGGUUGUCGUCAGCUCGUGUCGUGAGAUGUUGGGUUAAGUCCCGCAACGAGCGCAACCCUUAAGCUUAGUUGCCAUCAUUAAGUUGGGCACUCUAAGUUGACUGCCGGUGACAAACCGGAGGAAGGUGGGGAUGACGUCAAAUCAUCAUGCCCCUUAUGAUUUGGGCUACACACGUGCUACAAUGGACAAUACAAAGGGCAGCGAAACCGUGAGGUCAAGCAAAUCCCAUAAAGUUGUUCUCAGUUCGGAUUGUAGUCUGCAACUCGACUACAUGAAGCUGGAAUCGCUAGUAAUCGUAGAUCAGCAUGCUACGGUGAAUACGUUCCCGGGUCU
This 1372-nucleotide ribosomal RNA is filed under the name uncultured bacterium. Its description in RNAcentral is "bacterial SSU rRNA". It matches the Rfam family "Bacterial small subunit ribosomal RNA", at positions 28 to 1381 of the family's 1533-position model. The record is from RNAcentral.